UCUCAGAGUGUGUGAAAUAUUUUUCAAAG
Molecule: non-coding RNA, 29 nt
Filed under: Mus musculus (house mouse)
Lineage: Eukaryota; Metazoa; Chordata; Mammalia; Rodentia; Muridae
Source: RNAcentral